CCUACGGGAGGCUGCAGUGGGGAAUAUUGCACAAUGGGCGCAAGCCUGAUGCAGCCAUGCCGCGUGUGUGAAGAAGGCCUUCGGGUUGUAAAGCACUUUCAGCGGGGAGGAAGGCGUUAAGGUUAAUAACCUUGGCGAUUGACGUUACCCGCAGAAGAAGCACCGGCUAACUCCGUGCCAGCAGCCGCGGUAAUACGGAGGGUGCAAGCGUUAAUCGGAAUUACUGGGCGUAAAGCGCACGCAGGCGGUCUGUCAAGUCGGAUGUGAAAUCCCCGGGCUCAACCUGGGAACUGCAUUCGAAACUGGCAGGCUAGAGUCUUGUAGAGGGGAGUAGAAUUCCAGGUGUAGCGGUGAAAUGCGUAGAGAUCUGGAGGAAUACCGGUGGCGAAGGCGGCCCCCUGGGCAAAGACUGACGCUCAGGUGCGAAAGCGUGGGGAGCAAACAGGAUUAGAUACCCGUGUAGUC
RNAcentral lists this ribosomal RNA (465 nucleotides) under uncultured Klebsiella sp. RNAcentral describes it as "bacterial SSU rRNA". It matches the Rfam family "Bacterial small subunit ribosomal RNA", at positions 338 to 795 of the family's 1533-position model. Lineage: Bacteria; Pseudomonadati; Pseudomonadota; Gammaproteobacteria; Enterobacterales; Enterobacteriaceae. The record is from RNAcentral.